AGACGCGCGACAGUGGUGGCCACACGACAAAGUCUCAAUCGAAUACGCCGUUGAUGGUUAGGCAUUGACGAAAUGUCGCCGGAACUGUAUGCUAUGUAUGCGUGAUGAUGGGAAGAAGCGACGAAGAGCUAACAGAGCAAAGCUUAUGAGUGAAGAGAGACGCAAGGAUUUAGAGACGAAGAAGAGAGGGAACGUGAAAUGAAAUUAGAGAAAGGGAAAUGUGAUUAGGGAGGAAGACAUAUUAUAACUGGUUUCUCAAAUUCCGUUAUAAUACAUAAAGAAAUUUUUCUACUUAUUUACAAGUUUGCCAUCGCGUUUCAUAUUAUAACUGAUUUACAAAACUACGUUAUAAUAUGUCUUAUUAUUAUUACGAUUUUGCCACCGGUCAACCUAUUAUAACGUAUAAUAUUUAUACGUUAUAAUUGGUCCGUUAUAAA
RNAcentral lists this long non-coding RNA (437 nucleotides) under Vigna radiata. RNAcentral describes it as "long non-coding RNA (VRAD_LNC000120)". The record is from RNAcentral. Lineage: Eukaryota; Viridiplantae; Streptophyta; Magnoliopsida; Fabales; Fabaceae.